AGUUGCUUUGCCUUUAAAAAUGUAUUGAUUUCCCGGGCUCCCAACAAGCUUAAUGCAAUCGAUAGAGAUGGCCUUUCAAGAUCAGCACCAGUGUAAGCAUACCAUCCUCUCAUGCACAGUUACCUCUUCACAGCCACACACACUCUUCCUCUGUAUCCCCAUCACAACCCCAGGUUAUGAUUGUCCUUGGGCAAAAGAACAGUUUGUCUGCAUUAGGCGUGAAGUGUUCCUAUGGGAUUGUUCUCCCACUCUGGUAAUGAUGUUAUGUAUGAAGGGCCAUGCAGUUUGAUUCUAUAAUGAAGGUGAAAGAGAUUGCAGCACACUUCUCUUUGACCUCUGUUAUCUCUGUCAUCUGUAUUUUCUCCAUCUUUCAUCCCAUCUCAGCUCUCACCAAUUCUGCAGAAGAUCGAUAGCUGUUUAUGUUUGCAGUGUGCUCAAAGGUCUGCCUCGUUGGUUGUGUGGUGGGAUCUGUCCUUGUAACUCUGGGUGAGGGCAAUCAAAGAGACUCGAUGUGUUUCUCCUGCACGAGGUUCUCUGGCAGGGAGAGGCCAGGAUGGGGUUGCAGACCAGGGAGAGACUUUCAAGUUCAAGUGCAAGAUUACAUGUUCCUGACCAAGAGGAAGAGCAGAGAAAAAAUGUGGUAACUAAGUCAAGAGGAGUCGUCUGUAGCUAUGCUGCUGUAACCUUAACAGCACAUUGAUUCCGAGUGAGAGAAAAAGUGUACAAGAGAAGCUGGGGAGAAAAAUCCACCCCUCUGCUUUCUCUUCACUGCUACUCUCCUCCUCUUUCCCUCCCACUAAGAUAUUCUGUCUGAUGCCACCCCCUUCUCUCUCUCUCUCUCUCUCUCUGUCUCUCUCGAUCUGUCCUGUAUUCCGAUCCUUCACUCUAUCCUACACAUGCACAUACUAUUAAACACCACUUUUCUUCUUUUACUUCGUCUCUCAUCAGGUUGUCUUUUAGUGCACGGCUUUAAAGAGCCACUAGUAUUUCUGUUUCUCCCGACGGGUGGAGAAACCGGCUCAAUGCGGCUCUCUCUCUCUCUCAGCUGUGUAUCACAUACUGGGAUAGCCUGUUUCUCAUUGAGAGGCCCUUUUUUUACUUGUAACACAGAAGUCUUGCUCUCUUUACGGUGCAGGUUUCCCUCCCCCUCCCCUUCUUCUCUAUACUUAUCCGUAAAGAAAGGAAGGAAGCGGAAGAGAGAGGUGUCUGUGAGGAGGAAUGAUGAAAAGGCAGAGAGAGAGAGAGAGAGAGAGAGAGAGAGAGAGAGAGAGAAGGAGGGGGUAAAAGAAGAGCGCAAGACUGAAGAGAGUGGACUGGCAGAAACGUGAAAUACGAGAGGGAGAAGAGUAAAGUAGGAGAGGAACCCGUAAGAGGAGAAACGAGGGAUGGCUGACCUGGAAGUGGGCAAAAUCGAGGGAAGGGAAGCCGCCGUUCUUUUCCAACACUUGCUGAAGCUGUGAUGAGAUCUGCUCUGGUGCUCCUCAGGGACUACAGGUGUUCACUCAAAGGAGAACAGCUGGUCAGUGAUCAGGUAACCAUACUUUUCUUUCCCACCAUCAUUCUCCACCCUUUGUCUUCUCUACCUUCAGUGCUCACACACCAGAGCUGAAUACCACCUAUGAGUCGAAGCUUUAAACUCUUAGAACCCGUUUUGUUUUGUUUUUUUUGUGCCACCAAAUAGUUUUGUUAUUGUUCAGUAUGAGUUCCUCCAAGAAUGUUGUAUGUUCUUCUGCAUAUGUUUUUAAUAUCCUUCCCAUUUCUGCCAUAGUUUGUAUGUUUUCUUAUGAGUCAGCUUUUAUCAUAGAAAUAUUUGUUUAACAACCUUACAUUCCUGUUUUGUUUCCCACUCUUUUCUUACAUUAACGGCCGACGCUGGAUGUCAAAUAGCUCUCUGAAUAUUUCUGAUUGUUCCUGAAUAUCCUUACAAUGCCAGCUGACCUUCAUAUUUUGCAGCUGAUCAGAGCUGUGCGUGUGUAUUUCUCUUCUCUCAGCAGCAGAGCUCAGUCCCACCAACAUGCCUGGCAUACACGCUAACCCCUCUGACGUGAUUGACAACUCUGCCCUAGCAACCGCUUGGCACGUUGCCGGGCUGCCCAGGGUUGCCAGGGAAAGUGUUCCCAUAGCAACACAUUUAACCACUUUAUUUGCCACUUUGAAAUGUAGCAAAGGUUUUACAAAGAGGCAGAAAGGGAUUACUGUUGAAAUUUGCCCAAGAAGAAAAUAUGUGGAAAGCUGAUAUGAUUUUUGUGAUUCAUUUUUGCUAUUUAUUUUUCUAUUUACUUUUUAUUUUUGUAUGUGUUUAGGGAUCUGCUGGUAGUGCCGAAGACAUUUUUUUUCUUUAUGUUAGACUAUGUAGAUUUUGUAUGGUGUAUGGUGGACAAAAGGUCUUAAUACCGGCCAUUUAAAAUCAAAGACAUCAAUAUUCAAUUCCAGAAUAAAAAUGUCCUGAUAA
This is a long non-coding RNA of Carassius auratus (goldfish), 2452 nucleotides long. RefSeq lists it as uncharacterized. Lineage: Eukaryota; Metazoa; Chordata; Actinopteri; Cypriniformes; Cyprinidae. The record is from RefSeq and is a predicted model, not a curated record. The transcript is spliced from 3 exons.